Malus domestica (apple) is the source of this 277-nucleotide non-coding RNA. The record is from RefSeq and is a predicted model, not a curated record. Lineage: Eukaryota; Viridiplantae; Streptophyta; Magnoliopsida; Rosales; Rosaceae.
GUGAAGCUCAUUCACUGAAAGUAGAAAAUAUUCUGUAUAGGGGAAAAUCAGAGUUCCAAGAGAUUUUGGUGUUUGAGUCCUCAAUACAUGGAAAAGUGCUUGUUCUUGAUGUCAUUAUCCAGCUGAGUGAGAAAGAUGAAUGUGCAUACCAGAGAUGAUAGCACAUCUAACUCUUUGUUCAAUUUCCUCCCCCAAGACAGUUCUGGUUGUUGGUGGUGGUGAUGGUGGGGUUCUUAGGGAGGUUUCUCGCCAUCCUUCUGUUGAGCAUAGUGAUAUA